GACGAACGCUGGCGGCGUGCUUAACACAUGCAAGUCGAACGGAAAGGCCCUGCUUUUGUGGGGUGCUCGAGUGGCGAACGGGUGAGUAACACGUGAGUAACCUGCCCUUGACUUUGGGAUAACUUCAGGAAACUGGGGCUAAUACCGGAUAGGAGCUCCUGCUGCAUGGUGGGGGUUGGUAAGUUUCGGCGGUUGGGGAUGGACUCGCGGCUUAUCAGCUUGUUGGUGGGGUAGUGGCUUACCAAGGCUUUGACGGGUAGCCGGCCUGAGAGGGUGACCGGCCACAUUGGGACUGGGAGACGGCCCAGGCGCAUCCGGGGGGCAGCAGUGGGGAAUAUUGCACAAUGGGCGGAAGCGUGAUGCAGCAACGCCGCGGGCGGAAUGACGGCCUUCGGGUUGUAAACCGCUUUCGCCUGUGACGAAGAGUGAGUGGCGGUAAUGGGAAAAGAAGCACCGGCGAACUACG
RNAcentral lists this ribosomal RNA (466 nucleotides) under uncultured bacterium. RNAcentral describes it as "partial 16S ribosomal RNA". It matches the Rfam family "Bacterial small subunit ribosomal RNA", at positions 28 to 505 of the family's 1533-position model. The record is from RNAcentral.